AGAGCGAACGCUGGCGGCAGGCCUAACACAUGCAAGUCGAACGGACCCUUCGGGGUUAGUGGCGGACGGGUGAGUAACACGUGGGAACGUGCCUUUAGGUUCGGAAUAACUCAGGGAAACUUGAGCUAAUACCGGAUACGCCCUUACGGGGAAAGAUUUAUUGCCGAAGGAACGGCCCGCGUCCGAUUAGCUAGUUGGUGAGGUAAUGGCUCACCAAGGCGACGAUCGGUAGCUGGUCUGAGAGGAUGACCAGCAUCACUGGGACUGAGACACGGCCCAGACUCUUACGGGAGGCAGCAGUGGGGAAUAUUGGACAAUGGGCGCAAGCCUGAUCCAGCCAUGCCGCGUGGAUGAUGAAGGCCUUAGGGUUGUAAAGUCCUUUUAACGGGGAAGAUAAUGACGGUACCCGUAGAAUAAGCCCGGCUAACUUCGUGCCAGCAGCCGC
Molecule: ribosomal RNA, 445 nt
Filed under: uncultured bacterium
Lineage: Bacteria
Description: SSU rRNA
Rfam family: Bacterial small subunit ribosomal RNA
Source: RNAcentral